GCCUGGGAACUUCCAUAUACCUUAGGCAGCAGCCAAAACAAAACAGAGACAUAAGCAGCUAAACUGUGGGAACUUAAGCUUCUGGUUUUUUUUUCCAGUUUAUGGGUAAUAGCAAGAAAUGACAAACAUAAUAAAACAGAAAUUUUUAAAAUGUUCUCCAAAGAGCAGAUAUACAGUGUACUCCUUUUCCAAAAAGGAAGUAAAGGGAAAACAGAAAACCCUUUAUCUCAUUGAAUACAGCUUUUGUCACAUAGAACUUUGCAGAGCUCCCCUUAUUUUCUACUUCUUCUGGUGCUUCAUAUUUUAGAAGUGUCUUUACUAAUUCCCGGGUUUCUGAAAACUAAAAUUUUAACCAAGUUGGAACAGACUUCUUUUUCCUUUCAUAAAUAUGCAUAAACAAAUGAAGUAACUCCCAAAUGUAAGACUGUUUCUGGGACAUAUUGCAGAAGAUGAAAUGAGCAGUUAGGGGCUAUGUCACGCAUAGCAGAAGGGAUGCACUUGACAGCCUACCCAGGCUGUCUGUAGUCUGCACCAUUUGAUAGUUCUAUCAGAACAUCAGAUCCUAAGUGUUGAGUUUACAUUUACACCAUUUUAUUAAAGUUUAAAACAUAAAGGGAGAAUAGAUAACUGGACUUGUUGAAUUUGAAUAUGUAUAAAUUUGAAUAUGUUUAAGUCCAGAAUGUGUGUGUGUAUAUAUAUAUAUAUAUAUAUGUAAACAAAAUUCAGCUAUUGAGUUAUAAUUUACAUGCCCAUAUCUUCUGGAAAAUUGAGAGGGGAUUAGAAAAUUGGGAGCUCCUUAAAGUAUGAGAACUUUCUCCAAAGAAUCUUGUUAUAGGCUGAACUGUGUGCCCCCAGAUUUCCUAUGUUGAAGCCCUAACCCUCAGAGUUACUGUAUUAGGCAACAGGACCUUUAAGGAGGUAAUUACGGUUAAAUAAAUUCUUAAGGAUGAGGCCCUAAUUCAGUUCUCGCUCUUUACCCCCCUCCCCUGAGGACAUAGAGGAGAGGCCCCAUGAGGCAGUCUACAAGCCAGGAAGAGAUCUCACCAGAAACCAACCCUGAUGGCACCCUGAUCUUGGAUUUCAAACCUCCAGAAUGGUCAGACUGAGUCCCAGCUUGACUACACCAAAGACAGAAGGAUUGCUUUAAGGAGGACUAACAUCCCAAGGAUACUUCUGUUAAGAGGACUUGAACUUUAUUGGAAGAAAAUAUAUCUUACAUAUAAGAUAGCUAGAGGAUGGAUAGAAGAUAAAUGAGGAUACUUGGAUGGUUUACUGACCUGCACUCUGGCUUCAGUCACUCCCAUGCGUCUUGCAAACUCCUUUCUGAAAGAAAAAAAUGACAAACGUUCAGUAAUCAUAGAUGUGGAUGAAGUUAAAACAUGUGGCUGUUAUUUCAUGCUUGUUUUAAAAUGUUUAUCCCCUGCAUGCCCCCCACCCCAGUACACUUUUCUGUAAUACUCAGCUUACAGAGGUUUUCCCUCCUGCACAAAAUUUAAUGUGCCACAAAAAAAAAAUCUGUAAUCAAAAUAAAUAGUGUUUUGUGAGGCUACAAAUAACAAAUGCUGGUGAGGGUGUGGAGAAAAGGGAACACUCC
Long non-coding RNA from Phacochoerus africanus (Common warthog), 1594 nucleotides. RefSeq lists it as uncharacterized. The record is from RefSeq and is a predicted model, not a curated record. Lineage: Eukaryota; Metazoa; Chordata; Mammalia; Artiodactyla; Suidae. The transcript is spliced from 3 exons.